This 942-nucleotide long non-coding RNA is filed under the name Sus scrofa (pig). RNAcentral's name for it is "lncRNA (ENSSSCG00000060436.1)". The record is from RNAcentral. Lineage: Eukaryota; Metazoa; Chordata; Mammalia; Artiodactyla; Suidae.
UUUUUCACAAUCGACGCAUUGCCGUGGGAUGCGGCCAUGGGGCAGAAGACUAGCUUUCAGCAGCUCAGAGAGUAAAGGAUGAAAUUACAGGUAUCUAGCCUCUCCUGGGACCUUGAAUUACUGUUCACAGCCCGGCAUUUGAUUCAGAUUUCCAGGCUGAGAAGAAUGGGUUCAUUAAGUCCCAGAAAUCCCAAGCAGAAGGAGUUACAUGGUGGAAACCUCCCAUCGCCGUUCCUGUCCAUCCAUUUCUCCCGUCUGCUGUCAUGAGGCUUAUCCAUGCUGAAAUCCGCCUCUCCAUCACUUUCCCCACUUUAGAGUAUACAGCGCUGUGGAGCUGGUGGGAGUUUCCUCAGCUUCCUGACUGGCUCACCAAUUGUGGGGCUGCACCCCGCAGGCCUGCAAGCCUUGUGAUUGCCCAGCCUCAGGACUGAAAUGAGAGCCCGGGGACAGUGACAGCGACACCAGUGGCUUAACAGAUGGGGGAUCUUACAUGUCUGAAGCAAAGAGUCCUGGAUCGCAUCUCCACCACGCACGGCCAACCGCAGACAGAACGCGACAGCCAACUUCCCUGCUUAAGAAAGCAGGAGACUCCCAUUUAUGAGGGGAAUUGACCUCAGGCUGGCUCAUCAGUUACCAGGGAAACCGGUCACGCAGGCAGUUCCUGAUUAAGCCCUAUAAUUAAGAGGGUUGGCUGGCGAUGCGAGGGAAGCAGGGCCUGCGAGCAGGGAUGGGCAGAGAGCAAGAGCACAGCCACCUGGAGUGGCCUGACCAUAUACCUGGCAGCCACUAAUCUCCUUUCUCUGUGGAUCCGCCUACUCUCAACACUGCAUAUAAAUGGAACUAUGCAUUAGGUGGCCUUUUGUGUCUGGCCUCUUUCACUUAGCACAAUGUUUAAAUGCAUGUCUCAUGUAUCCAACCAUAUUCAAAUAAAGUGGGUUCUGG